Molecule: ribosomal RNA, 138 nt
Filed under: uncultured bacterium
Lineage: Bacteria
Description: partial 16S ribosomal RNA
Rfam family: Bacterial small subunit ribosomal RNA
Source: RNAcentral
UGGGGAAUUUUGGACAAUGGACGAAAGUCUGAUCCAGCCAUGCCGCGUGCGGGAAGAAGGCCUUCGGGUUGUAAACCGCUUUUGUCAGGGAAGAAAUCCUUUGAGCUAAUACCUCGGGGGGAUGACGGUACCUGAAGA